Molecule: ribosomal RNA, 254 nt
Filed under: uncultured bacterium
Lineage: Bacteria
Description: partial 16S ribosomal RNA
Rfam family: Bacterial small subunit ribosomal RNA
Source: RNAcentral
AAGCGAAGCCGCGAGGUGGAGCAAACCCCAGAAAUAACGUCCCAGUUCGGACUGCAGCCUGCAACUCGGCUGCACGAAGCCGGAAUCGCUAGUAAUCGCAGAUCAGCAUGCUGCGGUGAAUACGUUCCCGGGUCUUGUACACACCGCCCGUCACACCAUGGGAGCCGGGAAUGCCCGAAGUCAGCGGCCCAACCGAAAGGAGGGAGCUGCCGAAGGCAGGUCCGGUAACUGGGGUGAAGUCGUAACAAGGUACC